Molecule: ribosomal RNA, 261 nt
Filed under: uncultured archaeon
Lineage: Archaea
Description: partial 16S ribosomal RNA
Rfam family: Archaeal small subunit ribosomal RNA
Source: RNAcentral
CAGCCGUAAACUAUGCUCGCUAGGUGUCAGGCAUGGCGCGACCGUGUCUGGUGCCGCAGGGAAGCCGUGAAGCUAGCCACCUGGGAAGUACGGCCGCAAGGCUGAAACUUAAAGGAAUUGGCGGGGGAGCACAACAACGGGUGGAGCCUGCGGUUUAAUUGGACUCAACGCCGGGAAGCUCACCGGAUAAGACAGCGGAAUGAUUGCCGGGCUGAAGACUCUGCAUGACUAGCUGAGAGGAGGUGCAUGGCGUAGACGUCU